CUUCCCUUGGGAGUGGUGGAAAAUUGUCCAGAAGGAGCUCGAAGAGAAGCAAAUCCAGUGGAAAUAGAUUUUCUUUCUCCAGUUUCUCAGCAAAAUUCUUAGCAUUCAUUCUUGGAUGAACCCAAACCACCUUUAUCUCUAAACUUGUUAGUGACUGAAUGGAAUGCGGUGCUUCUGUCGGAACAUCUUUAAGAUAUGUACAGCCCUGGGGUGUCUGAAGUAGAGUCAGCUCUAUUCAAAGGCCAAAAUCUGAGAGGGAAAAUGGAAUAGAUAUCAAAAGGAAGCUCAAAUGAUUUUGCUGAAGUCAAGAUGCUGAAUAAGUGAAGGCAAUAGGAGUCCAAUUGUUUUUGCUUUUUAUCUGUAAACUGGACUGGAUCCUGAAUUCUUCUAGGUCUCCUGAAAUAUCUGGCUAUAAAUCUCCAAACUAGCAUUUUCAAUUUUUUUUCCAUCAUUUUCAUUUGGAAUCUUGAGAGCUGAAACCACCCUUGUUCCUGAAGCCCUGAAAACUGCUUCUGGACAACUUGAUACAAACUUCAGAGAGAUUCAUGUCUGUUGCUGUGUAAGCCACUCAGAAAGAUACCUCAACAGCAGACGACAUCAUCAGAGACAUUUCAAACUGCAAAGGAUCUAGAAAUCUUCUUGACAGGCUGCCUGCUGGACUCAGAAAAUACAUUAUAAUCUUCUCCAAUCAUUAACCUUGUUUUCUUUUUGUUUCUCUAGAAAUGCUUCUCCAUAAAUACCUGGUUACUUGCUUACAAAAUGUAGGCCUAACUUUGGGAAGCCACCUGCACCAUCAUCUUACUAAGAGAUUGGUUCAGUGAGAUAGAACCAUCUACAUUACCAGCAGAAAGAACCUAGAAAAGUCAUCACGCUGUAUCACUCAAGACUCAAGACUGAGGAAUGAAGAAUAAGAAGGAGGAAUUUGUAACUGCGGGCCCCCCAGGACAGUUCAAUUGAUCCCAUCUUUUCAAAAGAGUCAUUAAGAGUGGUUUAUCAAGAACUGAGACCCCCUGGGAAAUCUUUAAUCUUUACAAAGUCAAGUGCUCCAACUUGUGGCAAAAUUGCUGAAAACCUAAAGGUUCCAGAAGCUGUAAAAGUUUACAAAGAACUGCAGAAUUUUACCAAGCUUCUUUUGUGUCCUGAGACCUUGGCUUGAUGAUCAUCAGGUUGGGGGGUUGGUCCCAAAAAUAUGAGUGGACGAAAAUGCAGUUACACCCAAUUUUGUGGUCAGAGAUGGUUGGACAGAAAUGUAGGUUGCACUCCUUUUUGUGACUAAGAGUCACGCUAAACUGCUGUCAUCCUCAGGGAAUUGCACUGGCCAUUGGAAGGGACAUUCCAAUAAGAUAACAUCAUUUAAAAGUGCACUUAAAUGUAAAGACUUGAAAAUUCCAAAGUAGCUUUAUUGAAAGUUUUGUUGCAAAAUGAAAAAAUUAAGUUAUAAAAGGUACCUAAAAGAAAAGCCUAAGAGGUCAUGGCUUUAGGGACAUCCUGUAAUCUACCUUCUAAGGAGAGUCCAAAAUGAGACCCUCUCAGAGUUAAAGAGACUCAGAGAUUUUCUGGAAAACUGUUAUGUUGAACAUUACUGGAAUUGUUCAAUACUGCCAGAAAAAGUAAAAGACUACAUCCAUUAUAGGCAGAAAGAAGCUAGAGCAGUUGUCACCCUACAACCUUCAAGAUUGAACAGUGAACAACAGAAAGGGGGGAUUAGUAACCAGAGACCCUCCAGGACCAGUUCAACUGACCCAUCUGAUCCACAGAUUCCUCUCCUCAGGUCUCGGGUCUGUCAUUUGGAUCCAGUCAAGAACACCGCAUACCUCAGAGGAUGGAGAAGCUAUAAACUGCAGCUAAUCCAGGUUCCUGAAUACACAGUCACACUCGCUGUCAUCAGGAUGUUUGACAGCUGUAAUGGGCUGAAUUGUGUUCCCAAAAAUUCCUACAUUGAAGCCCUAACCCCCAGGACUUCAGAAUGUGGCUGUAUUUGGAGAUGGCUCUUUAAAAAGGUGCUGAAGGUAAAAUGAGGUCAUUAGGGUGGGCCCUGACCCACUGUGACUGGUGUCCUUAUCAGGAGAAGAGACUAGGACACAGACUCACACAGGGGGAUGAUGAUGUGAGGACACGGGGAGAAGACGGCAUCUACACACCAAGGAGAGAGGCCUCAGGAGAAACCAGCCCUCUUGACACCUUGAUCUCAGACUUCUGGUCUCCUUAACUGAGAGAGAAUAAGUUUCUGUCGUUUUAAGCCCCCCAUUCAGUGUUGUUGUCAUGGCAGCCCUAGCUGACUAGUACAACAUCCCCGUGUCUUCUACUGUACAUCUGUUUAAGUCCUUGCUAACAACUACCACCUGUUUAUUGCCACAUUCUUUAGAAACUGUGUGUUAGUUAGAUUAGUCUUCACAAAGAUGAGCAUGUGUCCUCAUUCUACUCACAAGACAGAUACCAUCUGGUCCUAGGGAAUAUGUCUAAAUCUUAAACCCUUCAAAGAUUUUAUGUUUUGGUUUUUUCCUCCUGUAUCAUUGAAGAUAAGUUGACACAUAGAUGUACAUAUAUACAUAUACAUGUCUUGCUCAUGCCCCUUAUUUUCUCUAUCAUCUUUUUCCUCAUUUGGGAUGACUUUAUUUCCAUGAGUUACAUUUGAUUAAUGCAUUAGAAUCUCACAUAAAAAAAAUUUGUUGCGCUAGAAUAUGCCCAUUUUUUCUAGUGCAAUCUGUUGAGGUUUUUCUAGCUUAAGGUGAAAUUUGACUUUCUCUCUGCUUCUGUCAGAAAAGCGGGAAGAAUCCUGAAAACAGAGGUUUAUCUGCCAAGUAGUUGGCUAAAUAUAAGCCAAGCAGUUACUCAAGCAUCUUAAAAGCCAGUAUUUUAUCUGGCUGAGUCCACGUUCAGAGGGGAGAAAUUGGCAAGUGAAAAUCAGUGAGAAGUGCUAGCAACCCCAAGAAAAUUAUUUCAAUUCCUAUAGAUUGUUGUGCCCUGUAAAGGCAUUUUAUUUAAACAGUCAAUACGAAUAGAAAAGAUCUUAGAAUGAAGAGAAAUGGGGGAGGAGGUUUAUUAAAAGGAGGAAAUGCAAUAGUAACAUUCUACUUGUAAAAAUCUAUAUAAUUCAGGAAAGUGCAGACCUCUGAAUGCAUGUAAUGACAGCGCCCUCACAGGUCCAAAUAAUCAAUGUGGUUUUUGACAGUUAAAUUGAAUGAUAAUGUUAGACUAUCUGUGUGUUAAUGUUCUGAUAAUAUUUUCCAACUAUCCUUUUUAUUCUUCUAUAAAUUACUUUUUCUUUAAAAUGAUAGUAUUAUACAACGUUCAAGCAGAAAUGAAAUUUAGAGAUGCUCUGCAACCAAAGUGCUUAUUUUAAACAUGUUUUCAGGAGGUGGAUCUGAUAGUAAGCAGUUAAUACAUAUGGUAGAUAGAGAGAAGAUCCAGCUGUCUUCCUUCCAAAGCCAGUAUCAUUUCUACCCACAUUUUAGUUAAAUGAAUACAUUUCCUUUCAUUAUUCUCCCAAUCCUGUAACGGUUUGUAAUACUAUUACCAUUUUACCCAUAAAUGUCAAGUUGAAGCUACUGACUUUCCUGAGCAUUAGCUACCGCUACAUGAACUAUGUGAUUGGGAUCGUGCGCUUCAUUCACUCAGUUUAUUCUAAUAUGUAUUUUUAAGUAGCAAUACAAGAUAUAAAAUUCAAGAAAAACAAAACAAAACAAAGACGACUAGA
Molecule: long non-coding RNA, 3697 nt
Organism: Equus caballus (horse)
Lineage: Eukaryota; Metazoa; Chordata; Mammalia; Perissodactyla; Equidae
Source: Ensembl